GCGUGUUGAGGGCAGAAAAUUCGGGGAGGUUGUUUUAGAUGUGAGGGUGAGAAAAAAAGAAGAGUGGAUGUGUUCGACCUUUGCCAUGACAGGUGCGCUUGCAUGGCAGGUCACAGAAACCAAAUAAAAGCACUUCUUUUUUGGUGUUUGAAGGGGGAGAUGGCACGGGGCUUUUGUCUCUUUUGCCCGGCUCUCCCCCUUCCUGCGUCUCGUGUCCCGGUUUCCUCUUUUUCCUUAUUCUCGUUUCGCUCGUUGUGCACAUCCCUAUCGUCCGCCUGUGCAUAGUGAUCCUAUGCAAAUUGCACCGAGUGCGGAAACAUCAGUAGAAUGCAGGGAAACGAAAGCCGUGAUGCUAGUUAAACUAGUAAUUCUCGUUGGUUGAAGUGGCCUUGGUGCACCUUCACGUUCAAUGGCACGAUGAUAGCCACCUCGAUGCAAGGAAAGUCCCGGAUUAUAAUCAAAUUCCACCAUAAGGUACAUCUUAAAUUUUGCGCCUUUCAUUGUGCUCAUACUGCCUAUGGCGGCACUAUGCGAAGUUUAAUGGCGUGCAAAUUAUCUGCUUGACUGAUGACUUGAUGGAUUCCAAAAGAACUUCACUCUCACUUGCGGCCGUUUUAUCCUUUGUAAGCCUGAUUAAUGAUGGUAAUAUGGGUUCUCAAAUAAUUGAUGACAGAUCAAGAUUUCAUGAGCUCGUUAUUCUUUUGAAAUUUCUUGAAAAUUGCUUCAGCUCCGUUUGCAUUUGUGGUGACCCUGGUAAACAUCACACGAUAUCCUUACUAAUGCUCAAGAAGAUACACUAACAACGAUUCUUGCACCUUAAAGUGGACGCUUCCCAAGAAAUUGGAAGUUUGUCUUAAUCAGAUACAUAGGUUAUAUAUGGAAAUUGACUACUUAUACAUUGAAGCAGUUCCUACGCAUUGUUUGCUUGUGGAUGAGAGUUCUCUUUUAUUUUUAUUUUUUAUUUUGGCACUAUCCUGCGUUGCCUUUUAUUGUUCUUGUUCGGAAAUGAUAGUACAUAAAGACGAUUCCUGAUAUGGAAUGUCAAAGCAUUCUGAAGAUGGUGUAAGGUGAAAGAUAGUGUAUUUGAGAUGUAUGUUGUAGAGAUUUGUGUUGUUUGAGCGAGGUUUGCUGCUCUGCUGAGCGGUAUCAGAUUUUUCAAGUCAUUGGAUCAAAUGAAAUAGCCGAUGCCAGAUCAACCUGAUUGUGCGGACUGAAGCGGUGUGGAGCGCUGGGAUGCCAAAUCAACUGGGAUGGCUUAAAUUUGUCUGAUGGUAAGGUGCAACGUUGUCGCAUUACUCGUUCUGUUCACUUCUGAUGUCUGUUCUUUUUUUGUGUGAUUAUUGUAAAAUGUUUAGUAUGGCGUGUUAAAUUACAUGUUUAGUUCCGAACCCAAAAUAUUACGUGGUUAGUUAUGCAGUGUAGUCUGGUUACUGUUCAUUCCAUCUGUUUUGUGUUGUGUCUCGUGCUUGCUUUGUCUUAAUGUUGCACGAGGGGACUAGAAGUGCGAGUUUUUUUUUUUUUUUUUUUUUGUGGGUAAAGUAAAAGUGCGAGUUUUGUGUUAAUAGUUUUGUGGAUAAUUAAGCUGGACUGAUCCUUAUCAUUAUCUAGGGGAUUUUUGUAUUCUGUGGCUUAUAAAUGAUAUGAUCUGUUUUCCAAAAGAAGCAAUUACACCAAGAUGCAUAAUUGGUCACUGCCUGAGAUGCUUAGGGUGAUUUGAACCAUAUGAAGAAGAUGAAUUCCUGAAACUAAAUUGAAGGUUUGGAUAGAUUGACAGCUAGUUUAACUUCUUCUCUAAUCUGUUGAAAAUAUGAAGAACAGAAUCGCUGCCUUGACUUGUUGGAAAUAUUAGCAAAGACAUCUCAUUUCACAGAAUGAAAAUUCCUACAGUUGUUAGUAGUGCUGUUACGUAAUGUGAAAAUUUGGUUGUCUAUUCGCAGGGUUUGAUUCUUUUGACUGGUUUACAGAGCUGUGGAAGUCAUUGAUGUUUCACGUACGCUGAGCCUCUGACCUAUCCAUGAAGAGACUCAAUUGAAGUUGAUCGCUCCAUGGCUUUAUUGGAAGAAUUCCUCCAGCUGCGUGGAUGGUCCUUCAUAGCUGUCUCACGAAAACCAAGACGGUGAUAAUCUGCCUAAAUUGUCCAUUCUCUUUGGCUGCAUGAGUAGUGCCAGUUCAUAUAUUUGAGUUCAAUAAUUGAACUAAGUGAAGCACCUGCACGACGGAGCGUGCGAGUGAUGCAUUCUCCACUUGUGGUAGCAUCUGUUUUUGACGCCUGAUAAUCUUCCUUGCUUCAGUUGCGUUAAAGCUGAAUUCGAGGACCAAAAUAUAAAAAUCGAAGUAGUCCAGAUCUUGGGGAAUUUCCCGCAGGAUUAGUAAUGGAGUAUGAAUUGCGGGUCAGUGUCCCCCUGAAUGUCUACUGUGUGCGCUUUGCUGAAGUUGGCAUUGUAUGUCCUUUUAUGACAAGAUGCUUAGUCGUAAUCCUCUCCGAUUAUUUUAUGGUGUCGCUGAAGUUGCUCGAGGUAAAAAAGGUUCUGCUCAGAGUGGUUGGGUUGUAUUGUUCUUCAAAACUAAAGAAAAAUCACGCACAUUUUUGUUUUUUCAAGUUUUUUUUUGGAAAAAUUGGUAAUUUUUGUUACUUUGCUUUAAUGAUGAAGUAUAGUAUCUUUCUGGUGAUAUAUACAUCUAUCUGAACUCUACGAAUUUGUCCGUUGGAAAUUUUGGGACAUACCCAUAUAAAUCUCAAAUUUUUAAGCUUGUUCUUUUUUCAGUGACUAUGUUCCUCGUUUUUUCUUUUAAUAUAUAUAAGAUACCCUGGAAGGGGUUGCCUUUUCUUUGUGAAUUGAAUAUUUUUAGGGCGGCGUCUAGUACCUGUUUUCCGUGGGGUUUUCUUGGCAAUGAAUUGCGGAACAAUUCUUUUUUUUUUUUGGUCGGUUAAAUGCGGAACAGUUCGGAAGUGAGAUAAAUGUGAUUUUUGACUGUUUGACUGCCCGACCUGGCACCCAGCACCCGCGCGAGACGCAUCGGUUCUCUCCAAAUGGGGCCUUGAGAAAUAUGAAGAGAAAAGAGUGACAUUUUUACUAAAUCGUGCAGGGUUCCCAGAAAUAGGUACGGUAAGAAGAUGGAGCUACAGGAUAAGUAAUUUGUUGCGCUUGAUUAUCAAAUCAGUGAAAAAAGCUAGAUUUCUGUACUACUUGAAAUGUCGUUGGUUGUCACUUGAUUAAUUAUUACUAUGUUAUAUUUUCGAUAUUACAUACUAUUUUUUGGAUUAAAAGUGUAACUAAUAAUAUAUUUUUCGGGUCAAAUUAGAUCUUACGUUCUUGGGUCGAAGUCGAAUUAAAUCUUAACCUGGGCCUUUUGUGACGAGAAUUUCUUUUUUUUAUUUUUUUAUUUUGUAACCAUACCCCCCUUAUUUUUAAUAUUUAGAAUAUAUGACUAAUUUUUUUCCCGUUUUAUUAAAAUUUCCAAAUUUGAGCCAUGUGCACGCCGUCUAUGAUCCUAGAGCUUUUAUAAUGGCGUCGUCAAUGAGUAGAAUUUAGGCGUUUCUGUGAUGGGCGGUGGAUAAUUUUGUCACGUAACGAAGAAAAAGUCUGGGUUGCUACUGUUACAGGGAAAAAUUUAAGGAAUUUAGAUGGGAGAGACUGGGUAUUUUUUUUGCACGGGGAUUAAUUAGAGAUAGGAAGAAAAUUGGGUUUUUGCGUUUUGCAUCGGUCGGUUUUUAGAUGGUAUUUUUCCAUAGAUGAAUAUAUCGUACGAUAUAAAUAAUUAAACGUGGGUAAGAAAUCAUGUGAAAUCGGGUGUUCUGUGAGCGUGACCUUCUAUGGAUCCAAAUGCUCCGACUGGCGGAGCUCCCAAACCCUCUUUAACUGAAGAGGGGGUAUGGGUUUGUGGUGGUUCGACUCCACCUGGAUUCGCCAUUUUGUUUUUCUGUUCUACUGGGACUUGUUAUCUAACGUUACAUUGAGCUUCGAUUAUUUUAUUGAAAAUUUAUGAUAAAAGAAAUUAUGUUAGAGAAAUUAUUUUCAAGAAAAAAGUUAAUUUCAAGGGAAAAGAUUUGUUCAAUGAUAAAUUUACCUUGAAUUUUUUUAUUAUAAUGAAAAAUUUCGAAUUUUUUUUUGUAAUAUAAAAAAUGUCAAACUUUUUAUUUACAUUAAAUUUUUUAUGGUGAUAAAAAAAUGCUGAGCUUGUAGGGUAUUUUAGUUUUUUACUUUUUUCUCUUUAAUGAUAAGACGCAAAUCGUAAAUGUGUCACAAUUAACUAAGUUUUAGGCUUUUGAAGUAAAUUUGUUAAUUGGGGUUUUUGGUGGUCUUUUUCCUAAUUUUUAUUUGUUUGAUGGUUUGAAGAAACAAUUCCCCUUGUGUCUCGGGAAGUAAUUUUCUUUCAGUUUAGGCUUAUGGUUCUUCAUUAAUGAAAAACACUUCUGGUAAAUUGAUUAGUUUAUUGUUGAAAACAUUGGUCGAAAAUUUAUUUUUUGAAAAUUGAAUAAUUUAUUAAAUAUUUUUAAAAACGUUGGCUCGUGACUCUUACAAAAAAUAGAUAGAUAGUUUUUUUUGAAAAUAUUUAGAUAUUAGCUGUUUCGAGCAUUUUUCAUGAAAUAAAUUGGGUGAGUUCAUUUACUGCUUUGUUUGGUUGAAUAAAUUUGCUCGGAGGCAUGGGAUGCGGAAGACUGAAUGCUCCGCUUUAAUUAUGGUGAAUUCAGAUCGGAAGAACAAAAUUGACAAAUGCUGAUUUUGGACCUUCUGCUAAAAAUGUCGCACAUUCGAACGGUCAAGUACGUUAAAAAUAGUGAUGAUUAUGGCGUAGCAGAACUAAUCGCGUCUAAUAUAGUUAGGAAAUCUCGCAGCCCUCUAGUUGGCAAUCGUAUCAAAUAAAAAAAAAAAAAUCCUUGACUUUUAUAAACAUGUGUCAAUUACUAUUUCUCAAUUUUAUCCUUUCGAAAUUCCUGCGAUCAUUUUUAACGAGAAAAGGAUUAUGUAGCCAGGGCAAUUUUGUAAACCUAUAAUUAAUUCAUGCUAAGCGUUUCCAUUGUUAAGAGAAAUAAUUCAUCCUCUUUUUAGGUCGCAGAUAUUCCUUUUCCUUUUAAUUUGCUGCAAAUUGGCAUUCGCAAUUUUAAUCCACUAAAGGUUUGAGCAUCAUAUUCUCAACUCUUUUUUUUGGCAAAAGUAAAAAAGGCAAAAAAGGAAAGCAUGGUAUCUUCGGUUCGCAAGUGUACAUGAGUCGGGGUCUUUAAUGCAUCUCCAAAUGUUGGUGUUGUGGGUUUAACACGAAUAAGGUUUCGUUUAUUUAGUAGAAAAUUAUCGAUUUGAAAAAUAUCUUCUUAAAAAUUGUUUUUAAUUUUUAUGAUGUAAAUAUUUCUCGUUACUUUUUUUUAAGUGAUUCGAAAGAUUAUUUUUAGGAAAAUAUGUUAUGUAUAUGUGUAUAAAAAGUAUAAAAAGAAAAAGUCUCCAUGUAGGAUCUUUCUCUGGUCACUAUUUUCUAGGAGAAUUAACACCCAAAUUAGAUAUAUACGUCCAGGCCGAUUGAAUUUGAUGGAUCCCAUGUGAGAAGGAUGCCCGACUGACUCGGAAUGCACAUGAACCGUCGAUGCAUUCUAAGUCAAAGUUGGGUCUGGCCUUCUAGAAGUCCUAAAGCUUUUUGGAAAGUUGAAACCGAAAGCGAAAGAACAAGUGGAAAGAAGACGAGAGGGUGGGUUGGUCCGAAAGUGACUCGUGAGGUGUGGGACGACUCCCCCGUGCUGGUCCGAAAUUGACAAGAGCUUUAGCUUUACCAAUAGAAAAAUAUCAACCGAUCCUUUUUUUUUUUUUUUCUUUUUUAAGGCUCUUUUUAUUUUGUAACAAAAUAAAUAAUUCAAAAAACAUUAUUCUUAAAAUAAUAAUUGUUAUUACUCGAAAUAAUUACUUCAUUAAAAAUAUUUUAAUUAUCGAUAAUGAUUUAUGCCUUACUAUUUUUCGUGAAUGGUUAAAAUAUUUUUUAUUCGUAUUUUUUUUUGGCAAGGCAUUACGAGCAAUUAUUCGUAAGAAAAUAUUUUUUAAAUCAUUCAUUUUUCACUAAACAAAACGGAGCCUUCGAGUCUAGAUCCUCUUUUUCCCUCAAACUGCACGAGAUAUGGAUCAUGUUGCCGACCGUGUUUUCCGAAUCAUUCUUCGGCAUGCGAACAGCUCUCUGUUUGCCCGCGAUCAUCAACAUAAGAUUUGUCACAGGAUGUUCCAUGGUCCUCCGAGCAAGCCGACCGCUGUGCUCGAACUUUUGGGUUGUCUAGAACAAAGAAUCGAUUCUUCUGCGACUUCUCAUAUUGGCAAAUUCGUUUAAGGGGAGAGAUUCUGAGGAGAAUAGCUUUUUCGAGUGCGGGAACAUUUGCCUAACCCGGCGGCCGUGCGUCGACCAGAUCUAUUAAUUUGGACAAUAAAAAUUCAGUUUUCCGCAAAUAUAUAUAAAUAUAUAUCGUACUUUGUAAAAAUAGAAAUUAUUUAAAUUGUAUUACUGAAAAGAUAUCAAUUACGUGGUCCCGUCUUUGAUUGUAUCGUUCGCUUCCGUGGAUUGUCCCUUUCUCCAUGUCUUUAUUCGUUCGUCGUCUUCCUUAACAAAACGAACGUCGCAGUAGCGGACGUGUGGGGGCGCCUCCAAAUUUUGAACAGAAAAGUAAAAGGGAAAGGUGACUAGGUGAGUACAUUUUUUUAUUUUACUUUACCGGAACAUGACAUAACAAAUUUCGAAAUAACGCCACGAAUGUUUUUCCUCUUUCUUAUAGUCGUUUUAAAAAACCUAAAAAAUAAGCUCGUGUGCUUUUAUUAGGUACGUCCAACGCACAUAAAUUUUACAAUUUUUUAAAUCUGCAUAUUUCUUAUCUCAGCAUUAGAGUCGGUCAUCCCGAGGUGCACUGGUGCCCACCACAUCACCAUGUAAUUUUUUUUUUUUCAAUAAUUGUUGAUGUCACCAUCAACGCCAAACCCCAAAUGUUUUGUCUUGUAAGAUUGCCAUUGUUGGCUUGUUCUAUUAUCGCGAAGUCUGCAAAGCUUGAUAAGAGCGCCCAUCGAGUCUGUUUUGUACUAACAUCAGCAACGUCAGUGUUGUGUUUCUCCAUUAGUCUAUACAAAAGCUACGAGAGCAAACAACAACCAUGUAAGUAGCAACAUUGACGUCUCUCUUUAAUGCAUUAAUUGUUUUCAAAUUUUAUUAUACAAAUUCAAGUUGGCUUUUGUGCAUGAUGAGUUUAAAGGGAUGUUGGAGAUAUUAGAGAUAUUUGUCCAUAUCAUUUCGUGGUCAUGCAUCUAUUCGAGAGAUUCUCCAUAUCCCCAAUUGUGUAUAUUUUGAUAGAUCGUAUUUGAUUUGAUUAUCUAUAGUCAUCUAAUAAAACUAGUAAAUAGGCUCAUACAUCCAAUACACAUUCACAAUUUCCUAUUUCACAUAUUUCUUGUCAAUAUAGGUUUGGAUUUUUUAAUUGUAAUUAACCCAUUUUAAUAUUUUGAGUACUAUACUUAAAUGUUGUUAUGCCAAAAGCGAUCGUCCCUCAUUCUUCGGGAAAAUUAUUUAAAAAAUCCUAAAUUUAUUACAUUUUUGUCGAUUUAGUAAGUGUUGAUCAAGUUCUAAAUUUUUCAAGUUUUGUUAACUGAUUGUUAAUUAAUUUUAUCUGAUCAAUUUUGGUCGAAAAAAAUUAAUAUGAAUGCUAGCCGUUUUAUUUAAUAUGAUUGAUGUUGAUGUGGAUAAUCUUUUAAUAUUAUUUUUAAAAUUAUUUAUAUAAUUAUUUCUUCUUUUUCCCUUUUUUUGUGGUUAGCGAGGUUGUGACGCCAUUUGCUUGUUCGAUGAGGGCUUGGUAAUGGCUAGGGAGGGCUCGGCGAUCCUCCAACCACAAUAAGAAAAAGUGAAGAAGGAAAAGAUAAAGACGAAAUUAAAAUAUUUGAACAAAUAUUAAACUACUUAUUAAAAGUUGUUUGUCAUUAGCGUUGGUCAUGCUAUUUAGAACAAUUGGCCUUCACGCAAAACAAAAUUGGUUAGAUUAAUUUAAUUAGCAAAAUGUGAAAAUAUUUAAAAUUAAAUUGCCAUAAUUAAAAAGUUUAAUAAUAAAUCAACAAAUGUGGAAUGGGUUUGUUAAGUCGUCGACAAUUUCCCUAUCCUCCUUCUAAAUGCCCUUUCACUCCACCAAAUUUAAUAAUUUCCGAAAAUUUUCUCACGAUGCAAUUAACUUUUCUUUUGCAAUAAUAGUUUAUGGUAUCAUUUCACCAUAAAUCGAAACGAAAAGAAAAUAGUGGACCGACAUGCAAAAAAGAAAAAGAAAAAGAAAAGAAAAGAAAAGAAAAGCAUAAAAUGGUUACCGAGGUCUUGUCCCCCCCGACCUUGAGAAGUGGGUCGAUGAUUUUGGCUGCCGCUUUCGACCAACUUCAAAAAAGCAAAAACCGAUCCCCCGUCUCAUCCAGAAACCACCCCCCCACGUGUGUCCUUCUCUCUCUUUCUCUCUCUAGACACCAAAAUCGACGAAUAAAAAAAAUAAAAAAAUUAGACGACUUUACAAUUUUAUACGAUUUCCUGCCAAAGAAAAAAAAAUUCAAUGCGCGAACCCCGACCCAACAUGCAAUUUAUACUGCUCAAAUUAAAGUCAAACAAUUUCACAUCAUAAUUUUUUUUUUGUCAGUCCUAUUCUUAUUCUACACUCACUCACUCUCAGACUUUUGCCCUACCUCUUGCAGAGCGUGGGAGUCGAAACCCACUUCUGAAACUUACGUGUCCCCACCCCAUCCCCCCUGAGAAAGUGGGGAUCUGAACCCUUCACCUCCCCCUUCCAUGUUGGAAGGAUGGCCACUGGGACGAAUCCCAGUGGUUAAUUUCACAUCCUAAUUCACUCGUAAGAUUAAUAGGGUAUUUGGUUUUGCGAUUGACUUAUUCAAAAAUAAGAAUUUCCUCAGUCGUUAAAAGGAAACUUUCAUUUUAGUGCUCCCUAUUAUACGCGUCCAUGCGUACGCGUUGUACGGACGAGCAGAGGCGAAAAUAUCUGCAAUAUUUUCCGGCAAAUUUAUUUUUAUAAUUAUUUUAUUCGAGGAAUAAAAAGAAGAGAGAUAAAAAGGGCAAGCUCCACGCAGUAGCAAAACUACAAACAGGCACUCCAAAGUCGACUCUCUCUCUCUCUCUCUCUCUCUCUCUCUAGACUUCCGUUUUCCCGUUGCUGGUCGCAGUCCCCGUGUGGAAAAAGUAGGAACGCACCAUGGCAUUUCCGUGAACCACGGCCGCCGGAGCCAUCUCCCCGCCGCCCCUCUCCGCCGCGGCCCGCCGCCGAUCGCUCCGGCAAGCCUCCGCCUCCGCCUUCCUCGUAUGAUUCCUGAUUCUCUCUCUCUCUCUCUCUCUCUCUUGCACGCACUCGCACGUUUGGAUCGGGCCUUUCGUACGCGCUAUCUCCGGAGCUGUUGCUCUGGUCGCUCGCCCUGACGAGGCGCGUUGGUCUCUGGGAUUUGGUCUUCUCGUGUUUUCCUUCGUCGCUGAGUGGCGUUUUACGACGGGGGGGGGGGGGGGGGGUGCGAGUGCGUGCGGGGUCGCCUUCUUCGUUUCCACUGUCGUUUUGCUCUCGCUUGAGUCGCGAGAUGGCUGGCGAUGAUGUGCCGAAGGAGGAGAUUUUCACCUCCCGCGCGCGACGAUGAUAGGACAGUGCUGAUCGGGAUGGAUCUGCUGAUCACAGCACCGCCGGAGUUUUCUCAAAUUACUGUCUUUUUGGUUUUUUUUUUGUUUUUGUUUUUUUAUGCGAAAUUUCGGGGAAAAAGGCUGUAACGAGUGUUGAUGAAAGUCAAGGCUUGACCUUUUCCCACGCUUCCACCCCCCCGAGACAACAAGACUGGAACUUUGCUUCCAUGGUUAUCUGUUGAUCUUGUCUAAGACUGUGCUGUGGCAGCUUGCUAUAUAUUUUUUGGUCAAUUUGUUAUUGGUUUUCACUGGGUGACUGUCUGAGAAUUGUCUCCUCGCCUUUCAGUUCUAAGCAAGUUGGAUUUGCAGUUAGAUGGGUAGCAGAUGGCUUCUUGCCUUACUUUAAUGAACAAAAAAAAAAAAAAAAACUUUUCGGAAUAUUAAAUCACCCUCUGUCUGGCUCCUAUUAUUCACUUUCUUCUGAAAAAAGAGUUUCUUUUCUUUUUCCAUUCCAUUUUUAUUCGAUUUUUCUGGCAAGUUCUACCUAGCUGGCACACCUUCAGUUUGCAGGGCCAUUAGCACAUGGAGACUCUUUAAGGGCACUUGGCAUUGAAGUAACUUGGCUUGUGGCUUAGUUACAGGAUAUAUUAUAUUGUUAUAUAUUUUCUGGAGGGAGCUGGAAUUGUUUUGCGACUCCAGGCACAGUGGCGCUAUGUCCAUGGGUUUACAUUUCUUCGAACGAUUUAUUUAUUUAUAUUUUGUAGAUUUUUUUCUUCGGGGGAGCUGCAAUUGUUUUACAGCUUCAAGCACAGUGACACUAUUGAUGGUUGAUGUUGCAGAGUCGCCUAUCCUAUAUAUGGGCUUUUCUUUUUGCACGAUAGCAUCAGUGUGGUUGAAUUGCAAUACAUCUACAUUGCUCAAUUAUUAGAUUGUUCUUUCCUUAAAAUUAAGGGCUUAGUUCUCUUGCCCUUCCUUUUUUGUUCUGUUAGGGACUAGAGAGCGAAGGCUCCAUUUGCCUCUGUAAUUUAUUUUCCCGUCUGUUUUACCUAUAGGAAAUAUGCUCUCAUUCCUAGUCUUUUGAAUAUCUGUACAUGUUCUUAUAUGGUGUGAGUUGUUACUUCUAUAGUAGGCCAUCAAUAGUUCUUUAAAGAUAUAUUAUUAAUUCCUUCAAUUUUUGUGGCUUCAGGCACCAUGUUUCGUCGAUGGAGUAACUCUCACCACAGUGAGGAAGAUGACUCACUGCAGUUCGAGUCUAAGGUAAUUAAGAUUUCAAAAUUACAGCGCUUGUAAGGACUGGACAUUUCGAAGAGUGUAUCGCCUUGAUCGAUUGCUCAUAUUUAUCUGAUUUCCAUGGCUGACCAUGCAGUUGACCUAAGUCAAUAUUUUUUCUGGCCAUGAGAAACCAUGAAGUGGCCCUUUUUGCAGAUAAUACUUUGCCGUCAAUACACCCCCUUAUCUGUACCCCUUUCCUCAUCAAGGGCUCAUAUAUGUGUUUAAUGUCUCAUGAUGUAUAGAUUUUCUAGCGUUGUGGAAUAAUAAUCAAUGUUCCUUCCCAGAAUAUAGGAGAAAUACAGUGACAUUUUUAGUCCAUUUGCAUGCAGGUGAAUGAGCUUAAGACUGCUAUGGGACCACUCUCUGGGCGAAGUUUGAAGUAUUGUGAUGAUGCAUGCUUGAGGAGAUACUUGGAAGCUCGAAACUGGAACAUAGACAAUGCAAAGAAAAUGUUAGCUGACACGCUGAAAUGGAGAUCAGCUUUUAAGCCUGAGGAAAUCAGCUGGGUAAGAUGGCUAAGUGUCCCGGUGAAUGAAUACUGCGCAAGUAUUGUGAUAAAUAAAUUUAUGCCGAUGGCUGUUGCCUGUUAAACUUCAGUAGAAGUCUGAUCCUUGUUACCCUAACUAUUGUGUUGACCUGAUAAUUAAUUUUAUUUCGUAGACUAAGUUCCUGGUACGGAGAAGAACUGAUUUUGUGAAUGAAUGUGAAUGCAGGAUUGGUGUUAGUCAACAAUAGUCGAGUGGCACUCAUUUUUUUGUGUCUUCUAUGAAACUGCCAUGAUGCAGUGAUAUGCAGCAUUAGGUGUUGGAGAGUUUAUUGUUCAAGGGACAAUAGGUGUCCCAGUAUAUUUUUGCACUCAUGCUGUUACCAAAAUCAUCAUUUAGACUGUUUUAGUUGACAAUAUGGCUAAUGAGCAGGUUGUGUUAGACAUGCAAUAAUACUUAUUGGGACGCUGAAUAAUGCUUCCAUUUGACAAUGUGAUGUUUACUAAAACAGGAAGAAGUUGCUAAUGAAGGUGAAACUGGAAAAGUAUACAGAGCAAGUUUUCACGAUCGUUAUGGAAGGAGUGUUCUUAUAUUGAGACCUGGAAUGCAGGUAUUUAUCCAUCCUGUUGUUGCUAUUUUCUGUAGCUUUUAUUUGCUCUUACCUAUUAACUUGGCAAUGAAUCUUGCAGAAUACUCAAUCGCUUGACGACCAGAUGCGACAUCUAGUCUAUUUGAUAGAAAAUGCCAUCCUUAAUCUCCCGGAGGGUCAGGAACAGAUGGCUUGGUUGAUAGACUUCACAGGGUGGUCCUUGAGUAACAAUGUGCCCAUCAAAUCUGCAAGAGAAAGUAUUAAUAUUCUGCAGAACCAUUACCCUGAGAGGCUUGCUGUAGCAUUUCUAUACAAUCCUCCUCGCAUUUUUGAAGCAUUCUGGAAGGUUUAAAAUCCAAGACUACCAAUUCUUCUCUGCUUUUUAUUUCCAGAUGUUUAGUGUAGUGUCACAAAGGCAUCACAUUGAAGGUUUUGUCGAAUUUAAAUCAAACUCUAGAGAGUUUCUGUAUGCACCCUUUGAAAGGCGCUGCUAGAUUCUCUUGUGCCAAGUGUCAAACAACUGUGUUGAUAUGAAUUCAAGAUUCUAUCAAACACUCAUUAGUUGCUGCAAUUCCUGAUGGAGACACACUGGCAGACACUACUUUUUUGGUGCACCACUGAGAAGCCAUAUUCAACUUAUCUCUUAGUCCAGCGGCCAACAAAGAAUAGAACAGCAUAGAUUAGUCCCAUUUUAAAGUUUGCCUGCUCUCUCAUGCCAUGCCCGUCUCUUUUUCCAUUGCUCUUGGCUCUUGUUUCAUCUUUGGCUUGGUACAUCAUCCAUCUGUGCAUGAGAUGCUGUUACAGUUGUAGAAAUGCUUUACAUCCAUCAUUUUGAAGGCUAAUAUCCCGAGACCCCUUUUUCUCUCACUUCGUUGUGCUGUUACUAUGAGUGGAUGUAUUUCCUCCCCUUUCUAAAUCCAAGUUAUGAGAAUUCUCCUGAUCCAAGACUGACGCUUCACAUUUUUUGGCGCAGG
RNAcentral lists this long non-coding RNA (12917 nucleotides) under Eucalyptus grandis. RNAcentral describes it as "long non-coding RNA (EGRA_LNC003662)". Lineage: Eukaryota; Viridiplantae; Streptophyta; Magnoliopsida; Myrtales; Myrtaceae. The record is from RNAcentral.